RNAcentral lists this ribosomal RNA (252 nucleotides) under uncultured microorganism. Its description in RNAcentral is "partial small subunit ribosomal RNA". It matches the Rfam family "Bacterial small subunit ribosomal RNA", at positions 524 to 776 of the family's 1533-position model. The record is from RNAcentral.
UACAGGGGGGCAAGCGUUGUUCGGAAUUACUGGGCGUAAAGGGUUUGUAGGUGGCCACUUAAGUCAGACGUGAAAUCCCUCAGCUUAACUGGGGAACUGCGUCUGAUACUGGGUGGCUUGAGUGCAGGAGGGGAACGCGGAAUUCCAGGUGUAGCGGUGAAAUGCGUAGAUAUCUGGAGGAACACCGGUGGCGAAGGCGGCGUUCUGGACUGUAACUGACACUGAAAAACGAAAGCCAGGGGAGCAAACGGG